UAAAUACUUUGCUUGUCUGCAGUUUGGUGCAUAUCUAUCCAAUGGUUUUAAUUCAACAGAUACGGAAUAUCUGAGUUACACCAUGAAAACUAGUGUUGCUGUUAUAAUAUUCAUCGUUUGUCUUUCUGGAUUGAUGAUAAAUCUAACAGAAGGAGGAAUUAAGAUAACAUGUAAUUGGGGAGGAUGACCGAUAAAAAAACUUUGUAACGCAUGUUGUGACCACUUGAAAAAGGGAUGUACUGGUGGAAAGUGUGUUAGGAGAAAGAAAUGGCCUCGAAUUAAAACAAAAUGUCGAUGCGAUUGUAAAAAACCAUGAUAUGGGAGAUUCAAAUGAAACCCUGAUUGAUAAAUGGCAUAUUUGUAAAGGAAUUUCAACUGUUACGUGUAUCAUCAGAUAAUAUUUGUUUAGUAAAUAAAGAUUGAUGUGUGUA
This is a long non-coding RNA of Mytilus trossulus (common blue mussel), 431 nucleotides long. RefSeq lists it as uncharacterized. NCBI's taxonomy places the organism in Eukaryota, Metazoa, Mollusca, Bivalvia, Mytilida, Mytilidae. The transcript has 4 exons. The record is from RefSeq and is a predicted model, not a curated record.